CAUAUCAAUAAGCGGAGGAAAAGAAACCAACCGGGAUUGCCUUAGUAACGGCGAGUGAAAGCGGCAAAAGCUCAAAUUUGAAAUCUGGUACCUUCGGUGCCCGAGUUGUAAUUUGGAGAGGGCAACUUUGGGGCCGUUCCUUGUCUAUGUUCCUUGGAACAGGACGUCAUAGAGGGUGAGAAUCCCGUGUGGCGAGGAGUGCGGUUCUUUGUAAAGUGCCUUCGAAGAGUCGAGUUGUUUGGGAAUGCAGCUCUAAGUGGGUGGUAAAUUCCAUCUAAAGCUAAAUAUUGGCGAGAGACCGAUAGCGAACAAGUACAGUGAUGGAAAGAUGAAAAGAACUUUGAAAAGAGAGUGAAAAAGUACGUGAAAUUGUUGAAAGGGAAGGGCAUUUGAUCAGACAUGGUGUUUUGUGCCCUCUGCUCCUUGUGGGUAGGGGAAUCUCGCAUUUCACUGGGCCAGCAUCAGUUUUGGUGGCAGGAUAAAUCCAUAGGAAUGUAGCUUGCCUCGGUAAGUAUUAUAGCCUGUGGGAAUACUGCCAGCUGGGACUGAGGACUGCGACGUAAGUCAAGGAUGCUGGCAUAAUGGUUAUAUGCCGCCCGUCUU
RNAcentral lists this ribosomal RNA (603 nucleotides) under Saccharomyces cerevisiae (brewer's yeast). RNAcentral describes it as "eukaryotic LSU rRNA". It matches the Rfam family "Eukaryotic large subunit ribosomal RNA", at positions 39 to 655 of the family's 3401-position model. Lineage: Eukaryota; Fungi; Ascomycota; Saccharomycetes; Saccharomycetales; Saccharomycetaceae. The record is from RNAcentral.